Molecule: long non-coding RNA, 2007 nt
Filed under: Onthophagus taurus
Lineage: Eukaryota; Metazoa; Arthropoda; Insecta; Coleoptera; Scarabaeidae
Description: uncharacterized LOC111425782, transcript variant X1
Source: RNAcentral
UCAGUUGUUGUAUACCAUUCGAGAAUAGAACUUAUAGAACUCACCUUUCCUCUACUUGCAAUUGCGCUUUUGCAUCACUUGACCUAUAGCGUAGUACGUUCAAGUAGGAACAAGUGCAAUUCUAAUGUAUUCCGCGACCUGUUACCGGACUUGUAGUCUUUCUUCAUUCUCAUACAAUUAACUGGAAAAACGCCAAAAGAACCAAAUUACACUCCCAUCAUGGGUUCAUCUUCUAAAACAGAAACAAAGUUAACAUAACUGACGACAUCAUUCGAUUCAAUUCUCAAUUAAAGCGCUAGAUUUAGAGCAACUAGUCAAAAAGCUCGCAUUACUCCUAAACGACCGAUGUACAUCGUGAACUAUCGCAUGACUUGAGGAACUGCAAUGUUAAUGGUCUAACAGGUUUUGGAACCAAAGUUUCUUGACAGAAUGGUUACGAAGAGCCAAGUUUAGAACAAAGAAUUAACAGAGAAGAAUUCAUAUUUAAGCAGAACUUCAUUGAAAUGCAGGAAAAUCAUGAUGAAAAUGUAUUUCAUGAACUAUAUCCGACCAACAUGCAUAACAAAGAAGAUUGCAUGAGUUGAACAUUUGCGAUGAUGAGAAUUUUUAGAAACAAAGUUGGGUAUUUCUUACCGAAACGGUUACGAAGCACUAAAUAUGCUACGAAGCACUAAAUAUGCCUUCCACGUGUAUUAACUCAUAUUACACAUAUAAUUAAUACGAAAUAAUAGGGAACCCAGUGUAAUGAUUCCAAUGAUCUCAUAAUUAUCUGAAAGUUAUCAUAUUUCAUUUUUUUCUUUACAUCAACUUCCAACAGAUAAAUUUUUAAAGCUAAAUUUCUUUCUAGCUGUACUUCGUGGCGAGUCAUUCGGAGAGAGCCACUGCCCUUUGCGUUUUGGAUUAUCAUAUAGGACCCAUUUUUCAUCUGCAGUGAUCAUGCGAUUAAAAAAUCCGGAUUUUCAGUCCGGAAAAAUACGGAUCGGUUAACUUUGUUUUCGUCGGACCAAUCUGAUAUAAAUAUUCUUGGAUGAUAAACCAAGGUUGGUUAAGAGUAUUUGUAGUUCCUCGAUCGUCUGACACGGAUUUGCUUCCACUUUCGUCCUUAACAGGUCAAAAUUACCGGGUUUGAACUUAGAAAACCACCUUUGGUAGCAAUUGUUGCAGUAUUACCCUUGCAAAACUCAAAAAGCAUACAAUGCCGAAUAUGUACCACUUCUGGUAUUUGACUGGUCAUUUCACCAUAAAUUCCCAAAAAGAAAAAUAAGAAUUAUUUGCGAGUAAACAAGUCACUCUAAUCUUAAAAUAUCUUUAACUCGAUUUUGUAGUACACAAUGAGAUGAUAGAUGGCAAUCGAAUAUCGACAUGCACAGAAACGACAUUACUUUCCGGUCCUCUAAUAUGAUCGUCAUCGAAGGUGUUGUAGACCACGACGUUUUUGGGAUUCGCUGAUACAUUAUUUAGAGCUUUGGUUGCAAAAGUUGGACUCAAUCCAUAACAUUUUUAAAAUUGGAUUCAUUACAAUAUAUAUACUAAGUGCUGUGAAAAUCUCAAUGCCAAGAGAGUGGCACAAGUGAUAAUUGGUUUAAUAAUGGUUAGAUUUUGUUUGGUUAAUAAUUGUUGAAGCUUUCCCGAUUCUGUUUGGAGCUGCACGGAAUACUGAAUUAUUUAUUGUGACGCAUGUGCGCCAAACUGUAGGGAUUAUAGUAUAGGGUGUUGUGACUUAUUGGACCCGACCUUCAAGUAUGUAACCUAUCGAACAUAUUUGGGACAUUAUGCAGGAGACUGAGAAACUUGUUGCAUCUUCCGCAUAUGGUGCAAAUUACUGCAUGAAGGUUGCAAAGGACAUAAUACCUCACGAGAAAAUCGACCAAUUGCUAAAAUCAAUACCACGAAGAGUGGGGGAGUAUGUAACCAACCCAUAAUUAAUAAAAAUUAAGUUUGCAUUUUGUACUUCGUAGUUAAACGGUUCUGCCAAGUUUGAUCAAAAAUAUAUUUCUACAUUUAGGA